CCUANGGGGGGCAGCAAUUAGGAAUCUUGCACAAUGGGCGAAAGCCUGAUGCAGCGACGUCGCGUGACUGAUGAAGUCUUUCGGGAUGUAAAGGUCUUUUCUGGGGGAAGAAGGAUGUGACGGUACCCCAGGAAUAAGCCCCGGCUAACUACGUGCCAGCAGCCGCGGUAAUACGUAGGGGGCGAGCGUUGUCCGAAUUUACUGGGCGUAAAGCGCNCGUAGGUGGAUAUUUAAGUUGAGGGUGAAAGCUCGAGGCUCAACCUCGGAACUGCCUUCAAAACUGGAUAUCUUGAGGUAUGGGAGGGAACUGGAAUUCCUGGUGUAGCGGUGACAUGCGUAGAUAUCAGGAGGAACACCGAUGGCGAAGGCAGGUUCCUGGCCAUAUCCUGACACUGAGGUGCGAAAGCUAGGGUAGCGAACGGGAUUAGAUACCCCANUAGUC
Molecule: ribosomal RNA, 442 nt
Filed under: uncultured bacterium
Lineage: Bacteria
Description: bacterial SSU rRNA
Rfam family: Bacterial small subunit ribosomal RNA
Source: RNAcentral